GGAAACGGCUCAGCCGGAGGUA
Molecule: small nuclear RNA, 22 nt
Filed under: Arabidopsis thaliana (thale cress)
Lineage: Eukaryota; Viridiplantae; Streptophyta; Magnoliopsida; Brassicales; Brassicaceae
Description: snRNA_13914
Source: RNAcentral